This is a long non-coding RNA of Dicentrarchus labrax (European seabass), 3489 nucleotides long. Lineage: Eukaryota; Metazoa; Chordata; Actinopteri; Moronidae. The record is from Ensembl.
CUUUUUUUUUGAUAAAGUAGAGUUUCAAAGUAAAAGUGCUCUGUUCUCAUCCUUGAACGGGUUUUUUAUUUAUUUAAGAAUCAUCAAUCAUAAAACACUGUUUUCAUAAAACACUUAUAUAAAUAUAAAUAAACGUCUAUGACAACAUGCAAUGUGUUCAGGAAUGUUAGUUUUAUAUUUCUUUAGAAAUUGUUUUGUUGGAUAAAAUGAAUGUGGCAGUGAGCCAGCAAAAACGUGGUGGUGUAACAUUAAACACUACAUUAUGCUAUAAUGCAGAUAAGACCUACCACAGUUCUUUAAUAAUUCACUGUAUAAGUGAACAAAUGGCCUUCAGUAAGCAAGUGUUUUAGCAACCGAAUGAAGGUUUCAGCCCAUUGAGUAUGCUGGUAGGCUGGUACAGUAGUAGUACAGUAGGUGUGCCAAGUUUCGUCGGCCACAUUUCUUCAGGAGUUCCACCCACUCUGCUGCAGUAGCUUCCUGCUUUCAGUCACAUUUCCACACACAAACUCUUGGUCUUAUCCGGAGAUGUCUUUGAGUGAGAAAAGUGAUGAGGAGAUCAGCGAGUUGCUUGCUGAGUAUGGCAUCAAACAUGGACCCAUAGUAGACUCUACUAGAAAGCUGUAUGAAAAGAAGCUUGAAAAGGCCAUGGAGGCCACUCCACUGCAAGCCUCAUCUGAUAAGACCUACUACAGAGAGGAAGAGGAGGAAGUCACCUACAUCACAUACCAGAGUCCUGUGAGUCCAGAUUGUCUGCUUAUUCCUGUUUGUGCCAAGUGUUUGUGCCUGCUCUGUGACUGUAAAUAAUCUCACAAACUAUCCUUCUUUCAUUUUCACAGGUUAGACAUGAGGUUUAUGGGGAUGUGUGAGUACAGUCUUCACACACACACACACACACACACACACACACACACACACACACACACACACACACACACACACACACACACACACACACACACACAAGGUAUGUUGAUGCUAGAUAAUGCCCUGAUUAACCUGUGAGGGGGGCAGAAAUAUGUGGCUGGGCCUGUAUUAAAGGGUAACUUUGGUUACGGUAAUAUCACUGUUUGGUUGCUUUGAACACAGCAAUAUGACUUAUUUAUGGUUAAAUAAAAAGACUCUUAUUUUUUCUUAAAAAGGUCUAACUCGGUAGGGAUCCUUUCCGUAAUGUUGUCAGACACUUAGAAUAACAAUCUGAACCUGUCAUGGGCAGAAACAACAACUUUUAAUGGAUAUACUUUGAUGGUUUGCCUAGGGAAUUUCCCUUGUGGCGAUUUAGGUUGGCUCAACAUACCCACAUACCUUAUACCUUAUGCGGUAUUAAGCCAUUUUUGUUGUUUUGCUUAUUACUUUGUAAGGGGUACAAUGGGAUACUGUUUCAUCCCAGUACCUGCUUGUACUAUUCACUCUCCCUCUUGCUGCCCCCUGGAUCUGUGACUUUGUUAACUGGAGACUUUCAGCAAAAACAAACAGUCAACAAUUAGUUAACAUAUUUGGCUGAAUGUAAUCAGUUAACAGGGUCACUUGUUACUGUACUAGUACUGCUGGUGUUUGCAGAGCAAGUGAGGGAGAGGCUAGGUGACUUUGUCCUGUGGGGAACUGUAAUGCUGGGCUGUGGACUGAGUGAUACUGAGUAGCACUAUGUUUCAGUCUCCUCAGCCUGGUUGCUCUGGGACUCUUUCCCGUCUUAAACAAAUACUGAACGUGAUGUAAUGAUGUGGCGUCACAUGCGGCUGUGGUGGUGGCUUGCCAUCCCCUCCAAUUGGCUUGUCAAUAGCGCUAUAUUUCAUUACUUUGGUUAUUGUGACAGUGCUAUGUGCGCCCCAUAAGGAUUACGUUGCAGCCCUCUCAUUCAGACAGAAAAACAUAGGAAAAUAUGGUCCAGGGUGUAAAAAACCCACAGUUACCCUUUAACCCACCCCCUCCCCCCCUUUAUGUAUAUCAACCCUCUCAGCUCCAUGUUCCAGUUCAGUACAGUGCACACAGACACCCAGGAAACAACCAGUACCCCUUAACAUUCUAACAUCAGCAUGUUAAUAUGCUUAUAGUGACAAUGUUGACAUGUUUAGGUUAGCAUAAUAUUUACCAUCUUUACCAUUUUAGUUUAGUGUGUUAGCAUGCUUUAAUUAGCGUUAAACACAAAGCUAAAGGCUGAUGGGAAUACUUACUGUUAGAUUUCAUGGCAAUCCAUCCAAUAGUUGCUGAGAUAUUUCUGUCUGGAUCCAAGAGGUGGACCAACCACCGCCAUCACUAGCGCCUGCUGCUAGCAAGGAUUUAAUUUAAAUUAAACUUGAUUUUAGAAAACACUUUAAACUAGUUGAUUUGCAAUAUUCUUACUGCAAUUGCAAUUUUUUCCACUUUCUGCUAAAUGUGACUACGCAUAGCUGUCAGAUAAAUGUUGUUCAGUCAGACAACUCACAUUUAAAAUGUUUACUACAGCAGCAUAGUAUAUGGGGAGUGAUGAGCAAAUACCUUAAACCCCUAGCUGGAGCCUACAGGUGGAUGCUGGGGUGGUGGUGGGGCGUACAGCGAAGCAGGCAGCAAUACGGAUGCAGGGCAACAGCGGCAUUGACAGAGCAGAGGGAGAGCUGGGAAAUUUUGCAGUUUAAAUAGACCGCCGGAUUGAAAGAGAGCGCUUUGUUAGUGAUUAUGGAGUGAAGCAUGUCACGUGUAUAUAGCAGCGCAGCUCGAGUUGACUGCCUGAACUAGCUCACAGGCUUUGCUCCAUUUGCAUAAAAAGAACAAUAUUUCCCUCCCUAUUUAUUGGAGUAGUAGUGGAGUAGCAUACAAUGAAAAUACUCAGGUAAAGUGCAAGUACCCUUACAGUGGGAGCAAUAAUUAUUUGAUCCCUUGCUGAUUUUGUAGGUUUGCCCACCUACAAAGAAUGGAACUGUGUAUCAUUUUAAUCAUAGGUACAUUUUAACGUUGAGACACAAUAUCACAAAAAAAUCCAGAAUAACAUCAUACAAAUUGUAUAUAUUUAUUAUCAUAUUUCCUCAUGAAAUAAGUAUUUGAUCCAUAGAACAAUAGGACGUAAUACUUGCUGGAGAAACCUUUGUUGGCAAGCACAGAGGUCAGACGUUGGUUGUAGUUUUUCCACCAGGUUUGCACAGAUAUUGGGAGGGAUUUUGAUCCACUCCUCUUUGUAGAUCCUCUCGAAAUCCUUAAGGUUCCGAGGCUGUCGCUUGGCAACUCGUACCUUCAGCUCCCUCAACAGAUUUUCGAUGAGAUUUAGGUCUGGAGACUGCCUAGGCCACUCCAGGACCCUAAUAUGCUUCUUUUUGAGCCAUUCCUUUGUUGCCUUGGCUGUAUGUUUUGGGUCAUUGUCAUGUUGGAAGACCCAUCCAAGACCCAUUUUCAGUGCUCUCACUGAGGGAAGGUUGUCGCCCAAAAUUUCCCGGUACAUGGCCCCAUUCAUCCUCCCCUCGAUACGGUGAAGUCGUCCUGUCCCCUUAGCUGAGAAAAACCCCCAAAGCAUAAGGUUUCCAC